UACGGAGGGCGCAAGCGUUACUCGGAAUCACUGGGCGUAAAGAGCAUGUAGGCUGGUUUGUAAGUUGGAAGUGAAAUCCUAUGGCUCAACCAUAGAACUGCUUUGAAAACUGUUGACCUAGAAUAUGGGAGAGGUAGAUGGAAUUUCUGGUGUAGGGGUAAAAUCCGUAGAGAUCAGAAGGAAUACCGAUUGCGAAGGCGAUCUACUGGAACAUUAUUGACGCUGAGACGCGAAAGCGUGGGGAGCGAACAGG
RNAcentral lists this ribosomal RNA (253 nucleotides) under uncultured bacterium. Its description in RNAcentral is "partial 16S ribosomal RNA". It matches the Rfam family "Bacterial small subunit ribosomal RNA", at positions 524 to 776 of the family's 1533-position model. The record is from RNAcentral.